RNAcentral lists this ribosomal RNA (504 nucleotides) under uncultured bacterium. RNAcentral describes it as "bacterial SSU rRNA". It matches the Rfam family "Bacterial small subunit ribosomal RNA", at positions 20 to 524 of the family's 1533-position model. The record is from RNAcentral.
UGGCUCAGGAUGAACGCUAGCGGGAGGCCUAACACAUGCAAGCCGAGCGGUAUUUGUCUUUCGGGACAGAGAGAGCGGCGUACGGGUGCGGAACACGUGUGCAACCUGCCUUUAUCUGGGGGAUAGCCUUUCGAAAGGAAGAUUAAUACCCCAUAAUAUAUUGAAUGGCAUCAUUCGAUAUUGAAAACUCCGGUGGAUAGAGAUGGGCACGCGCAAGAUUAGAUAGUUGGUGAGGUAACGGCUCACCAAGUCAGUGAUCUUUAGGGGGCCUGAGAGGGUGAUCCCCCACACUGGUACUGAGACACGGACCAGACUCCUACGGGAGGCAGCAGUGAGGAAUAUUGGACAAUGGGUGAGAGCCUGAUCCAGCCAUCCCGCGUGAAGGACUAAGGCCCUAUGGGUUGUAAACUUCUUUUAUACUGGGAUAAACCUACUUACGUGUAAGUAGCUGAAGGUACAGUAUGAAUAAGCACCGGCUAACUCCGUGCCAGCAGCCGCGGUAAU